ACUUGAUGUUCUUGUUUGUUGUCUGAAAAAAAGGAGGAAAAGUCAAUCAACAAUUUGAUUUUAAAUUUUAGUCCAACAAAGAUGGAAAAACAGCUCUAUUUGUUUGGGAUUCCGGAAGUUCCGGAACCAACUGCAUUCCACAAACUGACAAGGAGAUGGCGACAGUGUGCCGCCUGAAAACAAUGUAGGUUGCUCGAUCGUUUUUAAUUUCCAGGGUAAACCGAAGCAGUCAUCUCGACAGGUCACCUGGUGGCGCUAGUGCGCAAAGCGCCGUUCGACAUGCAGGAGAAGAAGUUUGCCUUGGCUCGGUGGACGUGACGUCAGACCCGCAGGUAAAUUGAAAACAGGUGUGCACCAGGGAGUUAUCAAAUACGGAUGAAGCAAGAGGGCGCCCGACCGCGUGGCAUUCUCUCAGGAUUUUCACACGCGAUGGACGCAACCACGUUUGAGUGUCCUUGUCCAAUAGGAGAGCCAGACUAUAUACCAAUAUGCAAUGUUGAUCUGUGCCGCAUCAAAACCAUUGCUCUUAUGAAUUCAACAAGUGAGCUGAAGUGACAUGCUCACUCUAACAGCUCAGCUAACUGAGUGAGAAAUGGGUUGAAGAGAAGCAAUGAGGAAAGGACCAAUUCCACACCCAGUCAAGAAUCAAGCAGCAUGCCAAUGUGGACAUGUCAUGUGUGGGGAUCAUCUGACCAGGAGGGGGCAGUGUUGUGCUCUGGUUGCUUUUGGUUAUGGGUGCACGCCGGAAAGGUUGCCUUGAAAUGAGGGCAGGUGUUUAAGGGUCUGAUGGUUGGACUUGCUUAAGAGGUGCGCUGUAGUUGUAGUUGAGGUUGUGGCUUGUCUGGAUCCAGAGCAGCGUUGUCUUGUGCGAGGAUAGCGGUUGAAAGCCGGCCGGCGCUUUGGGGGAGGACUUCAAUUUUUGCACACACGAAGCCCUUUGAGACUUGACUGUGGGCAAUGGAAAUGAGCUUGACUUGACUCGGUCCGUCACACCGAUCGACACAACCAAAUCCUUGUCGUGUUUAACCCCUUUUGUUUCAGGUUUUGUGGAGGAACCAGCUUGGGUACCAAUAGCAGAAGCCCAAUGCCCAAGUUUGCUGUAAGAGCAGCGAUGUCUUGUGCUAGGAUUGCUAUUGACGGCGCAUUGUAACCUUUGUGUCCAUCGACGUCGUCACGUCGAUGGACACCAACAAAACUUUGACGUGGAGCUGAAUGUCCAAUUUUGCAAUAACACUUGUUGACUAUUGUAACAUUUUUUUAUUUUCUAACCUACCACUGUCGUACUUGCCUUCUUUGUUCUCCCCUCAGUGUAGGGCGACGUUGGAGCGAGUCGGUCCAGAAUGUUAAAUUUUGCAAUAUGACUUGUAACAUUUUCUUUUUCUACCCUACCACUGUUGUACUUGCGUUCUUUGUUUCCCCCUCGGUGUAGGGCGGCGUUGGAGCCAACUGGUCAACGAGGUGCCGGAAACCCAAACAAAACUUUGCCGUGGCGCUGAAUGUCCAAUUUUCCGAUGUGACUUGUUGACUAGUGCAACAUUUUGUCUUUACUGUCGUACUUGGGUUCUUUGUUCUCCCCUCGGUGUAGGGAGACGUUGGAGCGAGCCGGUCCCGAAGGUCCAAUUUUGCAAUACGACUUGCAACAUUUUGUCAUUUCCUAACCUACCACUGUCAUACUUGCGUCCUUUGUUCUCCCCUUGGUGUAGGGCGGCGUUGGCGCGAGCCGGUCCACGAGAAACCACCGGUCGAGGGUCCCCAAGACAUAAUGACGCGAGCAGCGCACGACUCAUUGCAUGUUCUGCCUUUUGCAGACUGGACGCAAAAGGGGGGGACGCACGGCCCGACCCGGCGAUGGUAACCAAGAGUAGGUAGCUGCUGUGAUCAAGUAAGCAAGUGUGACCUCCAACUUGGGGUGCUCUUUGAGUCUCGCAUUGUUUCUGCAGAUGGCGACCGGGACGCGACACGAUCGGAUCAGAAGGUGUGGCAUCACUGAAGUAUCCUGCAGCCAGCCAGGUUCUGAGGGAGACCCGCUUCCCUGGAGGCGUUGAGCUUCAAUGCGUGAAAUUGAUUUUUUUUUGUUUUUUCUUUUUUCCAAUUCACACCAGUGGUGUCCAAACGUCUGAGUGCCGCAUACGGAAACAAAUUCCUAAUUGUGUGACAUAAAUUCAUUAAACACUCGAAUCAAUCAUGACAUUUUGCUCUAAAUAUUUUGUGCUACUGCUACAAAACGGUGUUUAUUUUGAAGGUCAUUCAUGUGGUGUCUUGAUAAACCUGACAGACAAAGCAAAAAUGAGGAUAAACUACUUCUGUGUCUGAGUGAAAUUUUGAACAGAGGAUUUGACUUGUAAAUACAACUUAAUAUUUUGAUGCCGUCUGUCAGUCGUAUUUUGGCGCUCCCCUAGUGGCCUGUGGGAAAUAGCCCCUAGGCUGCCGUUUGGACACUAAUGGUGAUGUGUAGGGCUGCACGUGUAUUGGAAAACUGCAAUAUGGUGGUAUGUUAUUGACAUGCACUUUAAGAAAGAAAAGAUGUUUUUUUUAAUGUGACCUAAUGAAACGAGCUCUGUUUUCUUGCUUAUAAUUAUUUUAGAAGAUGACAAGUCAUUGAUGCAAGUUAACGUCUAACUGAUCACAUUCAGUUCAAAUCAUUUCUAUCCCAAGUUGUUGCAUGACUUUGCUCGAUGCAAUGGUCUGGCCCAAUACUGCCAUAUCACUGGUUUCCCAAUAUGUUGUGCAGCCUUGAUUGAGUGCAAACGCGCAGCGGCGUCUAGCGACCGCGCAAGCGAGACUUUUCUGCUUGUGUCUUGAAAGGUGGAUGAGAAGCUGCACAAAAUGAAGAGCCGGCGGAUGGAGGUCACGAGAGAUUGGCGAGCAAAGGAAGAAAUCACCCCAAGAAAAACAGUCUCAAUGUGAAGAAGAGGAAGUAGCCUGAUGCAUGGCUGGCCGGAGGGCUCGCUCACGUGGCGUCGGAGGGACUGGAGCAGUUCCUCAAAUGAAGAUGAGUACCAUCUGCUGGUCACUGAGUACGUUGACAGAAGUGAACCGCAUGCAACGGAGUGCUGUCUUUCUUUUUGCAGUUGUGCGAGGCAGAGGAAGGGUGCAAACGUCGAAAACCGGCCCGGAGCGGACCCGAACCUUCUGCAGACCUUAGCCCGUGACGAGCGGCCCACAUGAGGCGGGUGCAGAUGCGGCGAGGCUGGGUGGGCAAAGCAGCCAACAUUUAGGGAGAGUAUGACUGUUUUUCCUUUUGCACUUUCUUGCCCUCCCUCCACUUUCUCACUGGGUGUGCACACUGUCUGUCUGCAUGAUGCUUCUCUUUCUUCCAAGUGCUGUUGUUGUGCAAUAUUGUUUUAAAGUGUUUUUUAAAUACAUAGAGUGAACUGUAAGGUUUGUACUGCAAUUGUGUGCCUCUGUACCUGAAUUAAAUUGUUAACUGAAUGCAAGUGGUCCAUUUUCAACAUUGGCCUGUGUAGUCUCGCUGUGCGUAAUGAGGUGAAUGUCAAGUAGACUGACACACAUAGAUGCAAAUGACAAGCGUGUCAAAGCGUAAAAAGUCGGCGUUGCAACCCAUGAAGUAUGUCUUUGGCAAACCUUUUUGCAACCCUGCUGUAAAAUGGCCACUGAAUUCAGAAUCUGGCUCCGUUUUGGUGCACAUUUUUUGUACGAGUAAAAGCCUUUAUUUUAUUGAAGUCCAAGCCUGUUUUUCUUUUUGCGGUUAGAUUGUCAUGCGGGGUGUUUCUGUGAAUAAAGUUGACUUUGGUGUGUUUUGUUUCUGUGGGUGGUCUUUGUAAAUACACUUUGGUGUAUCAAUUGUCAUGCACAACAUGCCUCAGUUGAUGCUGCAUCUCGAAUAUGAAAUUAAUUACAAGUUUUGUUACAGGUCUUGAAGUCUUCAUUUGCAGUCGGAAUACGAGGAACGCCAGUCCACUAUACAGUGGAGAGGGCUGCCAAAGUGAAUUUAUAAGCAUUACAUGCAACUUCCAGAAUCUGGGCCUUCAAUUCAAAGCACUUAGUCUCAUGUUGCUUAACAACACGGCCAACCUUGCUACCAGUACUGUGAUAGCAUCCAGUUCAGAGUUAAGUCUGCAAAAACACGUGAGUAAAGGCCACACCGUAACCUGUUUAGAUGGUGUUCAAGUGAGCCAGAAAGAGGUGAUCUCAUUACCGGCGUCUUUACUAAAUUG
Long non-coding RNA from Syngnathus typhle (broad-nosed pipefish), 4178 nucleotides. RefSeq lists it as uncharacterized. The transcript has 5 exons. The record is from RefSeq and is a predicted model, not a curated record. Lineage: Eukaryota; Metazoa; Chordata; Actinopteri; Syngnathiformes; Syngnathidae.